RNAcentral lists this ribosomal RNA (120 nucleotides) under Gopherus agassizii (Agassiz's desert tortoise). The record is from RNAcentral. Lineage: Eukaryota; Metazoa; Chordata; Testudines; Testudinidae.
CCCUGCAAUUAUCCCUCUCUGUUCUGUGGUUUCAGUAAACCUCACAAGCCAAGCAGGCUUGGGCCUGGAUAAUAUCCAAGUGAGGCACCCCAUACAAUGAAAAUCAUGGCCUUGCAAGAA